RNAcentral lists this ribosomal RNA (250 nucleotides) under uncultured bacterium. RNAcentral's name for it is "partial 16S ribosomal RNA". It matches the Rfam family "Bacterial small subunit ribosomal RNA", at positions 524 to 773 of the family's 1533-position model. The record is from RNAcentral.
UACGAACUGUGCGAACGUUAUUCGGAAUCACUGGGCUUAAAGGGUGCGUAGGCGGCUGUCUAAGUAGGGUGUGAAAGCCCCCGGCUCAACCGGGGAAUUGCGCCCUAAACUGGAUGGCUGGAGUGAGGCAGGGGUGUGUGGAACUUCCGGUGGAGCGGUGAAAUGUGUUGAUAUCGGAAGGAACGCCGGUGGCGAAAGCGACACACUGGGUCUCAACUGACGCUGAGGCACGAAAGCCAGGGGAGCAAAC